This 468-nucleotide ribosomal RNA is filed under the name uncultured bacterium. RNAcentral describes it as "partial 16S ribosomal RNA". It matches the Rfam family "Bacterial small subunit ribosomal RNA", at positions 28 to 507 of the family's 1533-position model. The record is from RNAcentral.
GACGAACGCUGGCGGCGUGCUUAACACAUGCAAGUCGAACGGAAAGGCCCUGCUUUUGUGGGGUGCUCGAGUGGCGAAAGGGUGAGUAACACGUGAGUAACCUGCCCUUGACUUUGGGAUAACUUCAGGAAACUGGGGCUAAUACCGGAUAGGAGCUCCUGCUGCAUGGUGGGGGUUGGAAAGUUUCGGCGGUUGGGGAUGGACUCGCGGCUUAUCAGCUUGUUGGUGGGGUAGUGGCUUACCAAGGCUUUGACGGGUAGCCGGCCUGAGAGGGUGACCGGCCACAUUGGGACUGAGAUACGGCCCAGACUCCUACGGGAGGCAGCAGUGGAGAAUAUUGCACAAUGGGCGGACGCCUGAUGCAGCAACGCCGCGUGCGGGAUGACGGCCUUCGGGUUGUAAACCGCUUUCGCCUGUGACGAAGCGUGAGUGACGGUAAUGGGUAAAGAAGCACCGGCUAACUACGUG